Molecule: long non-coding RNA, 536 nt
Organism: Sinocyclocheilus rhinocerous
Lineage: Eukaryota; Metazoa; Chordata; Actinopteri; Cypriniformes; Cyprinidae
Exons: 3
Source: RefSeq, a predicted model, not a curated record
CAGACAUGGACUGCAUGCUACAAAUUUCAUGACUUUGUUACAAGAUCGGCAGAAUAACUGGAUAUUAGGUUGUGAGAUGCUGCUGGGAAGUGAAAUGCACGAAGCACCUCCAUCCUUGAAGAUCUGAAAGACGAUGGGAGUCCAGUACUUACAAAAGCAUGAGAUCCAGCGGUCUAGACAGGCCAAAUUCAAUAAGCGCAUUUUCCACACGCUGAAAAUGGCAGAAGAGCGAAAGGAAGGAACUGAUUGGAAAUGUACACAAACUCAGGGCAGGUCUGUAAUUCGAUCUUACAGAGAUGCAGAGAAGGAGUUUGAACUUUGCAGCUCGGCUGAUCUGCUCUGCUCAAGAGCUCAUUCCAAUCACGCACGUCUGUGGCAUAAUCAGUUGGAGGAAGCCGAGCUCUCUGACAGACAGCGAUGCACAGCACCUCGCAAAGCAAGUGAGGCUUUCAUCUUUAAUACAAGCGCUGGGAGUCUGAGGGUGUCGGGGGUCUACGCAAGCCUCAAACACACACACACACACACACACACACAGG